RNAcentral lists this ribosomal RNA (253 nucleotides) under uncultured bacterium. Its description in RNAcentral is "partial 16S ribosomal RNA". It matches the Rfam family "Bacterial small subunit ribosomal RNA", at positions 524 to 776 of the family's 1533-position model. The record is from RNAcentral.
GACGAACCGUGCGAACGUUAUUCGGAUUCACUGGGCUUAAAGGGCGCGUAGGCGGGCUCGCCAGUCAGGGGUGAAAGCCCACGGCUCAACCGUGGAAGUGCCUUUGAUACUGCGAGUCUCGAGGGAGGUAGGGGCGUGCGGAACUUCCGGUGGAGCGGUGAAAUGCGUAGAUAUCGGGAGGAACACCUGUGGCGAAGGCGGCCACCUGGUUGGAUACUGACGCUGAGACGCGAAAGCGUGGGGAGCAAACAGG